This is a long non-coding RNA of Amphimedon queenslandica, 330 nucleotides long. RefSeq lists it as uncharacterized. The transcript is spliced from 3 exons. Lineage: Eukaryota; Metazoa; Porifera; Demospongiae; Haplosclerida; Niphatidae. The record is from RefSeq and is a predicted model, not a curated record.
GGCGUGGUUGGUGACACGCCUCCUCUUCAUGAGAGGUGACUGAUGGAGGAGAAAGAGAAUGUGCUUCUUUCUUCCUCGCUAACAAUAGAAGACCCUGAUAUAUUAGUCGAUCCAGAAGAGCAGAGAGCCUUCUACAGUUUCGUGAGGGAAUGCGUGAUUAGUCUCCUCUUGUGCAUGUGUGUAUACAUCUGUGGCUACUCAAUUGUUAAAUAUUUCAAGAAAGCAAAAGAGAGUGGAACCUUAAAUAAUGAGCAAGACGCCAUAGUGUACAAAAUAACGUAAGCCAAUUACACAUGUACAUGUGCAUGCACAUGCACAUGUACAUGUACA